This 881-nucleotide ribosomal RNA is filed under the name uncultured fungus. Its description in RNAcentral is "eukaryotic LSU rRNA". The stretch from base 568 to 881 matches the Rfam family "Eukaryotic large subunit ribosomal RNA", at positions 1 to 304 of the family's 3401-position model. Lineage: Eukaryota; Fungi. The record is from RNAcentral.
GGAAGGAUCAUUAUCAGAAAUUCAUAUUUUUGAAUAUCACCCUUCAACCCCUGUCUACCAAUUCUCUGUUGCUUCCAUUGGACUGGCAUAUAUUGUUGAAUUCGCUUUUAACAGUAAUUGCCCUUCAGGUCUCUUAAUUGAGCUUGAAGAAUUGCCAGUGGGUAGCCUAUGUUAAUACAGCAUUUUAUUUAGAAGUCUGAAACAAUAUGAAACUAAAUGAAAAAAAACUUUCAACAACGGAUCUCUAGGCUCUUGCAUCGAUGAAGAACGCAGUGAAAUGUGAUAAGUAAUGUGAAUUGCAGAAUCUCGUGAAUCAUUGAAUUUUUGAACGCAUAUUGCGCCCAAUGGUAUUCCAUUGGGCAUACCUGUUUGAGAGUCAGAAUCCUUCAAAAUUGUCAAACUUCCUAUAGUUGGAGAUGUUUGGAAUUGAGAGACGUAAUAAUAAUUUCAAUGUUACUCUCUUAAAAAUCAGAAUUUCAGGUUGAUUCCUCCAAUCUCAUUUUGUAUGUGAUAAUCUUAAUGAGAGAAGAAAACAGCCAUAAAUGUAGGUAUAUAGAACACUCGGUAUGACCUCAAAUCAGGUAGGGAUACCCGCUGAACUUAAGCAUAUCAAUAAGCGGAGGAAAAGAAACCAACAGGGAUUGCCUUAGUAACGGCGAGUGAAGUGGCAAAAGCUCAGAUUUGAAAUCGGGUGUUUGUAUAGACACUUGAGUUGUAAUCUGUAGAGGAGUUUUCAGAGGAUGACCAAGGAUCAAGUGCCUUGGAAAAGGGACAUCAUAGAGGGUGAGAAUCCCUGUAUAUGGUCUUGGUACUUCUCUAUAUGAAUCUCCUUCACUGAGUCGAGCUGGUUUGGGAAUGAAGCUCUUAAAUGGGUGGUAAAU